This is a long non-coding RNA of Gavialis gangeticus (Gharial), 105 nucleotides long. RefSeq lists it as uncharacterized. The transcript is spliced from 3 exons. Lineage: Eukaryota; Metazoa; Chordata; Crocodylia; Gavialidae. The record is from RefSeq and is a predicted model, not a curated record.
UCAGCAGGGCCCUGGGGCAAAACAGCCGGGGGGUGAUGUACCCGGGGCAUUCAGCUGCAGGUGAUACAGCUGCCGGAGGGAGCCUGGAGAGGGUGGCCACAGCAG